GGUCUUGUCCCCGGCCGACCUUCCUUUCCCUUCACCCCCCCCCCUCCCCGCCCGUGACCGGCGGCCGCGUUCUCACGACGCUCCUGUGCAGAGACAAGGCUAAUGGUGUUCUUCCAUUCGCUUCUUGCGAACUAGAGAAAGAGAGAGAGAGAGAGAGAGAGAGAGAGAGAGAGAAAGAAGAAGAAGAAGAGGAGGAGGAAGAAGAAGCAUUGCUUUACACAUCUGGCAUGGGUGCUCUUAAAAUGUACUGAUUAUACAACUGCAGCUGGCUCGCAGGGAAGUGGUGUCAUCUGUGGAUUUAGAAAGGAGAUGGGACAAGACAGUGAAGAUAGCUAACAAGUGAGUCUCUUUGAGCCUUUUUUGUUUUAAAUCAGGCAUCUUAACUGAAUUCCCUGAUUUGUUAAAUAAUAAACAAGCAUACAAGA
Molecule: long non-coding RNA, 425 nt
Organism: Crotalus tigris (Tiger rattlesnake)
Lineage: Eukaryota; Metazoa; Chordata; Lepidosauria; Squamata; Viperidae
Exons: 3
Source: RefSeq, a predicted model, not a curated record